AGAUUGAACGCUGGCGGCAUGCCUGACACAUGCAAGUCGAACGGGAGUAGCAAUACUCUAGUGGCGGACGGGUGAGGAAUACGUAGGAAUUUGCCCUUAAGUGGGGGAUAACCCGGGGAAACCCGGAUUAAUACCGCAUGACCUCGAAAGAGCAAAGUGGGGGAUCGCAAGACCUCACGCUUUUGGAGAAGCCUACGUCGGAUUAGCUAGUUGGUGAGGUAAUGGCUCACCAAGGCGACGAUCCGUAACUGGUCUGANAGGA
Molecule: ribosomal RNA, 262 nt
Filed under: uncultured soil bacterium
Lineage: Bacteria
Description: partial 16S ribosomal RNA
Rfam family: Bacterial small subunit ribosomal RNA
Source: RNAcentral